AGGAUCAACGCUGGCGGCGUGCAUGAGACAUGCAAGUCAAACGGACGAUCAGGGCUUGCCUUGAUCGUUAGUGGCGGACGGCUGAGUAACGCGUGGUGACCUGCCCCGAAGUGGGGAAUAACUGCCCGAAAGGGUGGCUAAUACCGCAUGUGGUGGUGUGUUCAUUCACACCAGUAAAGCCGCAAGGCGCUUCGGGAGGGGCCUGCGUCCGAUUAGCUCGUUGGUGGGGUAACGGCUCACCAAGGCGACGAUCGGUAGGUGGUCUGAGAGGACGAUCACCCAGACUGGGACUGAGACACGGCCCAGACUCCUACGGGAGGCAGCAGUCGGGAAUUUUGCGCAAUGGACGAAAGUCUGACGCAGCAACGCCGCGUGAGGGAUGAGGCCUUCGGGUUGUAACCUCUUUAUCAGGGAAGAUAAUGACGGUACCUGAUGAAUAAGUCACGGCUAACUACGUGCCAGCAGCCGC
RNAcentral lists this ribosomal RNA (469 nucleotides) under uncultured bacterium. RNAcentral's name for it is "SSU rRNA". It matches the Rfam family "Bacterial small subunit ribosomal RNA", at positions 26 to 518 of the family's 1533-position model. The record is from RNAcentral.